RNA transcript from Triplophysa rosa, 8215 nucleotides. It is a transcript of the gene named supervillin a, with no coding region annotated. The transcript has 44 exons. The record is from RefSeq and is a predicted model, not a curated record. NCBI's taxonomy places the organism in Eukaryota, Metazoa, Chordata, Actinopteri, Cypriniformes, Nemacheilidae.
CUGUUUUUCUUUAUCUCUCUUGUGCCUCAGCAUUUUGACUUUAAUCAGAUUAGUGUCCUUGCAGCUUUAGCAUUGUAGUGUCCCUGCUAGCAUUGAGCAGUGGUCAUGCAGUCUGUUUUCUCUCUCUCUCUCUCUCUCUCUCUCUCUCUCUCUCCACACUGCGCUCCUGCUGCUGCUUCUGCCUCCCUCUCUCUCCACCUCCCUUCUCUGGCUGUCCCAGGACCGCUGCAGCUAACUGCAUCACCUUGCAGUUCAGGCACUGCUGUCUUUCUGCAAUCCCCUCCCUUGGCUCUCUCUCCUUCUAUCUCCCUCUUUUGCUUUUUCUUCACACCCCCUUCUUCUCUCUACUCCUUUACAUCACAAUCUCCCUCUCCUUUUUUGUCACUAUUUUUCGUUCUCUGGCAAUUAUUUUGUCAACAUGUACCGGAACCCUUGGAUCUCCAACUAUCUCAACCAUGUCAAGUUGUGUCAAGGUUCCACAGGAGAAACAGCCACUAAAGUUGGCAACACCAAAUUACAGCGGAGAGCUUAUAGCUUCCACAAAGAGUUCUCGUUUGAGGAUAAGACCGAGGGAAUCACCAGCAACAACGAAUUAGAUGUCAGUCUACUGACAAAUACACCCAAAGUCUCAGAAUUAAGGAAACGUUUUGAGGGUGUAAGCACGAGUCAGAGUUGGGACAUGAACAGGAAAGAGCGAAUUUCAAGGCGUCUGGAGGGUAUUGAUUGUGAAGUUCUUCAAAAUCUCCCAAGUUGUGCCGGUCUGGUGACCAAUCGGCUGCUAGAGGAGGACACUCCAAGAUAUACCCGUGCGGCAGAUACCUGCGACCCCUGUGCAGUUUCCCUUCAACACUAUGGCAAAAAUGACCCCAACUACUCAAAAAUGCACAACACAGAGGUUCAAUCCAGCACCCACGCCACCCUCUCCGAGUCUGCCUACAGCACAGAUUCCGCUCGUGUGGCAGAGCUGGACACUAAAGCCGAACGGAUCGCCCGCUACAAAGCGGAACGUCGCCGCCAGCUAGCCGAGCGCUACGGUAUCUCUCUGGAUCAGGAGACGGACACAGACUACUCCACUUGCUACUCCAGAAAUUCCAGAGAGCCCGACAGGGAAGACCGUCAACGCAGAAUGAAGCCAGAAGGAGGAGAGGGUGCAGAGCAUUAUGCUUUCACACCUUGGCCUCUUGAAGAUAAGAUGAGCUCACAUAUCCGUACAUAUCCCGAGUAUAGCCGGGAGCGUAAAGACUCUCUCUCUGAACGUGAAAGGUUGAUGAAUCUAGAGAAUCAAAGAAGGGCACAGGAGAGAGAUAGAUUGCACAGAGGUGGUGGGGUUACACCUGACGCAUCUGCAGCAUAUAUGGACGUGUCGGGGUCCGCCAAAGUUCCAGGGAGGCAACCGGGGGUCAUGGGGGUUCCCGGCUCACCCGUCACAGGCAGAAAGGCCACAGUGCCAUCUCCCAAACAGGGAGCAUCUCCCGGGGACAUGUUUAUUGAGCAACAGGCCCAUAAUAUCCUCAACAGACAAGGCUCCCGUAGCCAGUCAACCAACCAAUGGUCUCUUCAGACUGAUUCAGAAGGAGACACCCUCUCUCUGAUCAACUGGCCUUCCAGAAUCCGAGUUAGGGAGAGACUGGCCCGCGACGAGCCUUCUCACAAAAGUCCAAAGUUGGGCUCUGCAACAGAGACUCCUGCUUACACCCAAUUUCCCCAGUCAUACCCUCUAUAUCAUUCUCACGCUUUGACACUCCCCAACACACCAGCUAAACAACAGCAGACCCAUCCAGUCCAGGAGGAGCGCCAUGAUCAGGGGGGCCAGAGUUACUUCUCUAUGGGCAGUGAAUCCAAACAUAAACACGAGAGCCAGGAGAUGCUCGAAGAAGCAGGAUGCAAAAAAGAUGGGCAACAGGAUGUGAGGGCAGUGGGUCUCCACCACAGCAGGAAGGCUGUUUUACCCUCUGAGAUUCGACGGAAAGAAAAAAGCACGGAGGACCCACGCCGUGGAUGGACUGAGAACAUGGAAGCAAACCUGAGGAUUAGUGGCCACGGAAGGGAGUUUGUUACAGAAGAUCCCAGAGGGAUGCGGGGAGACUGGUCAAGACGGGAAGUUUACACGGAGCACAUGUCCCGACGUCAGGCUGCAGAGUCUAUGUAUGCAAAAUCUAAAGAGUCCCAAAAGAGGACUGAUGCUACACUUCAUCAGCAAGGAUCCAGUUCUGCUUUGCUCCAAACUUCUACCCAAACCCCUGCCGUGUCCUCCAGUGGAAGAUGGGCGCCAGGUUCAUCCAAACCCCUCACUCACUGUGAUGCUGGAAUUGUCCAGAAGACUGUUUCUCAUAAAAAAAAACCCAUCCAGGACUCGGUUCACAUCAGAGAGGCUGCUCCUCAGGAGAAAGUUCCCAAUGGGGAUCUCCUACCUGAACCCAAGGUUUCAGUGGCCCAGCUCCGCCACACCUACCUGAAAAGUGUUGCAAGCCCCCGGAAAACCGAACUGGCAAAAGGACCACCUGCAGUUACAGACGUCCCCUGGAGAAUUAAGAGAGGCGGAGAUCGGUCAUCUCAUCGCCCUAUGAGAUAUAUAUGUGCUGCUGAGACUAGAAAGACAUCUGAGAGAUUUAGAACUCAGCCGAUCACAACAACUGAACGUGAAUGGUUGGACCGGUCUUGUCUAACCCCUGAACCGCCAAGCCUGGAGGUGGAUGAGGAGAAGCUGGAUGAGAAAGCAAAGCUGAGUGUGGCUGCCAAGCGCUCUCUCUUCAGGGAGCUAGAGAAGAGUUCAGAUGGUUCAGUUCUGAAGUCAUGGAGUCGUAACCCUGGCGUGGAACGGAGGCUGAGGAGAGGUCAGGAUCGUUCACGCACCCAGCCUGUGACAUCAGAGGAGGUGGUCAUUGCUGCUACUGUCCCUGGCCAUUUGUCACAGUCCGAGACUGUGCGAACCUCUGUAGCACGUGUUCCUAGUCCCACUUUAAUCAACAGCUCUGUGACCAAAUACAGUCUGCAGGCAUCAUCUCAGCAGAGCUCAAUGGUGAGGGAGCAGGCCAGAGAAUUUCGGCUGGCUCAAGAGGCCGUGGAGAUGGAUCUAGCUCGGCACGCGUUUCCUGAGGAGGAUGGCAAGGAGGAGCCAGACCUUUCCACGCUUACACUGGCAGAGAAGAUGGCACUCUUUAAUCGCCUGGCACAGCCGUCCAGCCACGCCCCUCGGGCUAGGAGUGACACUCGGGCACGCAGGAAUAACACACGCUACCAGACGCAGCCAAUCACACUGGGAGAGGUUGAACAGGAUGGCUCUGUUUCUGAGAUGUGUGAUGAGGAGUCGGAGUUCUCAGAGGUUCUCAGUGAUCUGGAACAUUUGCUGCCUGCGGGUGGAGAUCGUUUUGCAUCCGCCUCUUCCUCGGUCCUUAAAUCCUCUACGGUUUCUACUGAACACGCCGGUGACAUCCACCUGGCCACGCCUAAUUUAUCUGGCCCCGCCUACUAUGAGCAGGCCCUUUCCCCACCACACCACUCUCAACCUGCACAAGAGACAUCCAAGAAUCAGACACAUCAGGAAGCCGAUAUGUCAACUGUGGCCCAAGGAGAAAGGCUGGUUUUGGGCAUGGGGAAGAGGAAGCACCCCUCGCCAGAAAGCAUUAAACAGACGCCACAAGCUCAGCCGGACAGAGAGUGGGAGGAGCCGAAAGGGCGUAAUAUGGAGCUGGUGACCUCUCAAGACCUUUCAGAAACAGAUGGAAAGCACAAGUCAAAGGGAGCCGUCUCAGAUCUUCCUGUGCACACAGCCGCAGUACGCGCUGCGACCGCUGCGACGCAGGACUCGACACGGGGCGUCUCUCUCACGCAGCACACACACGCGCAGAUGCUCACAGAGUCUGGCGCGCACCUCCCCGUGGACUGCAGGAGAGAGCAGGAGUGUGAGACGGACUUUAUAACAGAGGAGGGAGACAUGUUCACAGACAUCAUGUCUGCCAGACAGAUGUCCAUCAAAGAGAGGCUGGUCCUGUUGAAGAAGAGCGGAGAGGACGACUGGAGGAAUCGCAUCAAUAAAAAACAGGAUGUGGUGAAGGUCGCGGUGUCUGAAAAACACGCUCAGCUGUGGGAAGUGGAGCAGAGCUUCAAGAAGAAGGAUGAUGGGAUGAUGAUAGAUGACUUUGCUGUGUCUGAUCAACUCUGGGACCCUGUCUUUUCCUCCUCUUUUUCGUGUGCCUCUGAACCACUGGAUCAUAUAGCCAUUCACCCUCAGGCUACCCCCCUGCCCGUGCAGGUGCAUGAGCGUCACCCCUGGAGACGGAAGAUCUCUUCUUUGCCGUCUCAGAGGAUUGGAAACGAGGUGGUGGAGAGCCAGAGGAUCGAGCGAAUUGAGAUGUCCAUUCAGGAGCGCAAGCAGCUCAUCACCACGCAAGAAGAUGCCUGGAAGGUCAAAGGACACGGAGCAGCCAAUGACUCGACUCAGUUUACAGUGGCAGGCCGGAUGGUCAGGAAAGGUCUGGCAGCCCCCUCUGUUCUCUCAAAUCCAGUGCUGUCUCCUCUUACCUCUAAGAACAAGAAUGGUUCCCACACCAUCUCAAAGCCAUUUGAAGAGAUUGAAGUCAGACAGGACAUGAAGCUGGAAUCAGACAAGAAGCUGGAAAAGUUGGAGUCAUUCCUUGGCCGGCUCAAUAGUAAAGUGUCGGGUCUUCAGGAGACCACCAUUGCAGUCACAGAAAAAUCUGUUAAAGAGGUCAUGACCCUGGAGGAUGAAACCUUUGAUAAGUUUUAUCGGCACACAGAGGAAAUGGCCAAGAUUACAAGCGGAGUGGAAAUCAACGAUGAUUUCGAUGCCAUCUUUGGAACACAGAUGCCCAGGUUGACCUCAGAGAUGGUGCAGCACAAACGAGCAGUACGACCCACCAGGAACGUUCAGUCUUCCAGGAAUCCCCUGAAAAUGUUGGCUGUUCGGGAGGACAUCAGACACGAGUACACAGAGCAGAGACUGAACAUCGGCCUUCUGGAGAGCAAGAGGAUGAAACAGGAAAAGAUGAAUAAGAACAGCGGAUUCUCUGACGUUGCUCUUGCUGGUUUGGCCAGUAAGGAAAACUUCAGCAGUGUGAGUCUGCGCAGUUUGAACGUCUCCGAGCAGAGGUCGAACAACAGUGCCAUGCCCUAUAAAAAACUCAUGCUCAUUCAGGUCAAAGGUCGCCGACACGUCCAGACCAGACUAGUGGAGCCCAGAGCCUCUUCCUUGAACAGCGGCGAUUGCUUCCUCUUGGUGACGCCUCAUUACUGCUUCAUCUGGAUUGGAGAAUUUGCAAAUGUUAUUGAGAAGGCCAAAGCGGCAGAGUUGGCCGCGUUCAUUCAGACAAAGCACGACCUGGGCUGCCGAGCCUCGUAUGUGCAGACUGUUGAAGAAGGUGCCAACACUCAUACUCCUGCAGCCAAAGAGUUUUGGAAGAUUCUUGGUGGCCAAGCCAGUUAUCAGUCCGCAGGCUCUCCAGAAGAGGACGAGUUCUAUGAGAAUGCUGUAGUAGAGACCAACUGUAUCUACAGACUAUUGGAAGAUAAACUUGUUCCUGAUGACGACUACUGGGGUCGAGUGCCUCGCUGCUCUAUGCUCAACUCUAAAGAAGUGCUGGUGUUUGAUUUUGGUAGUGAGGUGUACGUGUGGCACGGUAAGGAGGUGACGCUGGCCCAGAGAAAAGUGGCUUUUCAGUUGGCUAAGCAUCUGUGGAACGGCACAUUUGAUUACAGCAACUGUGAUAUCAAUCCUCUGGAUCCUGGAGAAUGCAACCCACUCAUACCCAGAAAAGGUCAGGGACGGCCAGACUGGGCGGUUUUCGGCAGGUUGUCUCAGCACAAUGAAACUACCCUCUUUAAAGAGAAGUUCUUGGACUGGAGUGACACCCAGAAAUCCUCGAGAAAAAAUGACUCCUCGCAUGCAACUGAAAAUAAGGAGCAUCGGAGUGGGGAAUGUAGGUCCUAUGAUGCAUCUCUGAUGUUGCCGAUGGUACAGACGCCAGUAAGGACCGUUUUGGAUGGGGCAGAUAUUGGACGAGGUUAUGGAUUGGUGGAGGGCGACGAGGGGCGGAACUUUGAGAUCAGCACGCUGUCUGUUGAUGUUUGGCACAUUCUAGAGUUUGACUACAGUCGUCUACCCAAACAGAGCAUCGGACAGUUCCAUGAAGGCGACACACAUGUGGUCAAAUGGAAGUAUAUGGUCAGCACAGCAGUUGGCAAGAGGCUGAAUUCAGGAAGGAUCAUUGGCCCAGGGAAGGAGAAGUGUUGUUAUUUCUUCUGGCAGGGUCGAAACUCUACUGUGAGUGAGAAGGGAACGUCAGCGCUGAUGACUGUGGAGCUGGACGAGGAAAGAGGAGCCCAGAUGCAGGUCCAGCAGGGAAAAGAACCUCCUUGUUUCCUACAGUGCUUUAACGGAGGAAUGAUUGUCCAUGCUGGAAAGAGAGAGGAAGAGGAGGAAAAUGCACAAAAUGACUGGCGAUUAUACUGUGUAAGAGGAGAGAAACCCAUAGAAGGCCAUCUGCUGGAGGUAGUGUGCCACUGCAGCAGUCUGCGCUCUCGCACCUCCCUCAUCCUCCUGAAUAUCCCUAAAGCCAGCAUGUACCUGUGGCACGGCUGCAAGGCGCAGACGCACACGCGUGAUGUGGGCCAUACCGCUGCCAACAAGAUUAAGGAGCAGUGUCCUCUGGAGGCGGGGCUUCACAGCAGCAGUAAGGUAUCCAUCCAGGAAUGUGAUGAAGGAGCAGAACCACUGGGAUUCUGGGAAGCUUUGGGAAGAAGAGAUCGAAAGGCUUACGACUGCAUGCUGCAGGAUCCAGGAAAGUUCAACUUUACUCCUCGUCUGUUUCAACUAAGCAGCACUUCAGGAGAGUUUGUGGCUGUGGAGUUUGUGUAUCCGUCCAGAGAACCGAAUUUGGUCAACUCGAUGCCUUUCCUACAGGAGGACUUGUAUACAGCCACUCAGCCAGCUCUGUUUUUGGUGGAUAAUCACCAUGAAGUUUACCUAUGGCAGGGCUGGUGGCCCGUGGAUAGUGAAAGCACGGGCUCGGCUCGUAUACGAUGGGACUCCGACAGGAAGUGCGCCAUGGAAACCGUGCUCCAGUAUUGCAAAGACAAAAACGAGAAGAAACCGCCCAAAUCAUACCUGAUCCAUGCAGGGCUGGAGCCUCUUACCUUUACUAACAUGUUCCCAUGCUGGGAACACAGAGAGGACAUCACUGACAUCACAGAGAAGGAAGCUGAAGUAUGCAAUCAGAUCAUUCUUGUUGAGGACGUCUUGUCUAGACUCUGCAAGACCACGUACCCAUUGGCUGAUCUACAAGCCCGUCCCUUACCAGAAGGCGUUGACCCUCUAAAUCUUGAGAUCUACCUAUCAGAUGAAGACUUCGAGUCUUGCAUCUGACAGAGGUUAUUUUUUCCCUUCACAUGCCAGGGUGUAGGGGCUUCUGGGAAGAAAGCAUUGGAGAUGACAAGAAGUGAGUAUGAGGCACUGCCAGGAUGGAAGCAAGUUAAUGUGAAGAAAGCCAAAGGAUUGUUUUAGUGGGAAAUGUGUUCAAAGUGAUUUGAAUCCGCAAGUGGAGAACUUUCUCAUUCCUUUUCAUCCAAAUGGAAAAAAAACACAAGCGUGCCUGUGUCAAACCACACAGGGAAGAGAAAAGGAGGAAGAUAAAAGAAAAGACAGAGAUUGGCAGGGGUUUACCAGCCUCUUGUAGCACAUCUCUUCCCGGUUUUGUUUCCAGUUUUUAUUUUUGUUUAGUUUCAUUUGUUAUUCUUGUUUUACAGCUCUUUGAGCAUUUCCCAGCUUGUUGCGUUCUUCCUGUCCACGUGAUAGAAGCCAUUCAGCCCUCAUGCACUGCCCAGCUUUAUGUAAAGACCCAUGAAAAGAAGCCGUUUAGUAUUAUCUGAAUGUAAGAUGGCUCAAGUGUCAUUAGUAUCAUUGGUAACAUUCAUACUGCGUUAUUAAAUGGCCUCCAGAGUUAUUUAAUCAUCCAGAUAGAUGCUUGAGCUUUGUGUGUGCGUGUUUAUAUGAGUGUUUGUGAAUCUGUACAGUUUGAGCGUCUAGGUUGGAUUGAAUGAAAAGUGUGGAAUAAGAGAAAAUAUCUUUCUAUUCUGCAUUGUAUAGUGCCUUGCCUUCAUGUACAGUUUAUAUAAAGACAGAUGCUAGUCUGCAUUUUGAAGACUUAUUUGUGAUAUAAAUAAAUAAUAGAGCAAAAUAAACACUGAUAUAUGUAUCGUA